Molecule: long non-coding RNA, 632 nt
Filed under: Manacus vitellinus (golden-collared manakin)
Lineage: Eukaryota; Metazoa; Chordata; Aves; Passeriformes; Pipridae
Description: lncRNA (ENSMVIG00005006084.1)
Source: RNAcentral
AGUUAGGAACGAUCAAGAAGUUUUCCUACGCUCCCGCUCGAGGGACAGUUUUUCGACACCGGGCUUUGUGAAGGCACAGACGCGGUCGGGCUCUGCCGGGACCCGGCUGAUUUCCCUGCCCGCCCGCGGGCGAGGGAUUUUCCGCUCCGGGUCGCCCGGCAGCACCUGCUGCUGUCGCCGCCCGGCACCCCCAGCCCUGGGCCCGGCUCCCGCCCCGGCGGCACCCGCUGUACCUGCAGGAUCUUGUCCAGCCCCUCCUGGCCCAGGCAAGGGAACUGCUUGAGCAGCUCCGUCUUCUGCCGCUUGUAGUCGUCGGUAGCCGAGCGCCAGUGGGGCUCCUCCAGCACCUCGAAGAUCGCGGCCCCGAUGGACAGGUAGAAGAUGAUGGCCGAGGUUCAGCGUAAUUUCUCGUUUUCGACGCCGGCAGGCUGUGAAACGAGGGCUGUGGCUUUCCCGGAUGCGUGGAAGCGUGGGGGAAAGGUGAGCAGGAGAUCUGAGGAGAAAAUUAAGAAAUCUGUCGUCAGGUUUCACCCCUCCCCUGAGACGUCGUCCAGACGUGUGCAUUACAGAUUCUUCAGAGCAGACACUGCAUCUCCCUUCUUCGUGCAUUUUGUACCUUUAAUAAAUGUUCC